Long non-coding RNA from Mesocricetus auratus (golden hamster), 586 nucleotides. RefSeq lists it as uncharacterized. The record is from RefSeq and is a predicted model, not a curated record. NCBI's taxonomy places the organism in Eukaryota, Metazoa, Chordata, Mammalia, Rodentia, Cricetidae. The transcript has 2 exons.
AGAUGAAGUUUCUGUGCUCUACAUCAGAAUUAGACCUAAGACUGAAAUGUAAAUGUGAGUCCAGGCACUUCGGAACUGCUUUUGCUAAAAAGAAUGGAGAAACCUGACCUGAUAUCUGAACUUUUGACUUUGGUUCAGACUCCUGCUUUCUGCCUCCUGGACAUGUCAAUCAUCUGUCCUCCUAACUUAGCUCUUUCCCCUGCAAGGUUGAAGGCACAGGGAUAGGUCUUUGUCUUAAACUGACAGACAUCUUGGAUUCCAGGAAGAGCAAGCCUCAAAAAACAGACAGACUGCAUGCAGAUGAGAACAAUGGUUUAUGAGUGGGAGGACACAGGUAGAGCAGAAGUGAUUGAUGUCUUGUGAGAACCAGAUGAAUCUCUUUGAGAAAGGAUACCAAUAACAACUUCAGAACACUCUGGAGAACCAGGAUGGAGACAAUAACCAACUAGAUCACGCCUUGACCCUGAGUCUUCAUCAUGCAGACCUCUUGCUCCUUGCCCUAGUCUUACUCUACUGAACUCUAAAAUUAGAGCCCUAAAGAUGAACUUGGGGGAUCACUAAACCCCUUUAUUUGUUCCUUUUGAAA